UUGAAUAUCAAACACGUUUGAUAUUUGAUAUCCAUGUGGUAUCCCUAUGAAUUUGCAACACCCUCGCAGCAUUCAUAGAACCUCUUCUACACGUCGACAAGAAGCAAUUCUUGUAUUUAUGCCAGCCCUUCUUCAGGCUGGCUUUUUUUAUG
Molecule: non-coding RNA, 152 nt
Filed under: Vibrio anguillarum 775
Lineage: Bacteria; Pseudomonadati; Pseudomonadota; Gammaproteobacteria; Vibrionales; Vibrionaceae
Description: Vibrio RNA VqmR
Rfam family: Vibrio RNA VqmR
About the family: In fact, VqmR which is highly conserved in vibrionaceae, was shown to strongly inhibit biofilm formation through the repression of vpsT gene and could be the link between biofilm formation and quorum sensing.
Source: Rfam by way of RNAcentral